Molecule: non-coding RNA, 387 nt
Organism: Nicotiana tabacum (common tobacco)
Lineage: Eukaryota; Viridiplantae; Streptophyta; Magnoliopsida; Solanales; Solanaceae
Source: RefSeq, a predicted model, not a curated record
CCACUACCACCCCACAAUACCUACAUCAAUGGAUAGAUCUCCUCAAGACCUAGCUAUUGAUGCCAAUUCACCCUGAAAAUCCGGCCAAAUUCCGGCGACCUCCCCGAACACCCUCUUUUGGCAUACCACCAUUUUUUCGGCCACAUGAAUUGUAAAAUGGUAAUCCUUUAAGACUCGUAAUGUACGUAUUUUCAGCAAUGGGAACAACUUGAACAUACUUCACCAUUUAAAUGUGUUUGAUGUGAUGAAUAGUUUGACAACAAAAGAGCUUGUAUGUUAUUGUUAUGUAUCAUGCAUGUGAUAAUGUGAAUAUAGUCCUUCAUAAUACUUGAAUAUUGAGUUGUAAGUUUUUGAAUGUGAUAUCUAAGUCGUUUAUGGAUUUUUUAA